CUGACCGUAAACUAUGCCAUCUAGCGAGCAUCGGGUGGAUUCUUUUGCCCUUGAUGCGAGCUUUCCGGAAACGAAAGUCUUUCGGUUCCGGGGGAAGUAUGGUUGCAAAGCUGAAACUUAAAGGGAUUGACGGAAGGUCACCACCAGAAAUGGGGCCUGCGGUUUAAUUUGACUCAACACGGGAAAACUCACCCGGUCCGGACACUAUAAGGAUUGACAGACCGAUAGCUCUUUCAUGAUUUGGUGGUUGGUGGUGCAUGGCCGUUCUUAGUUCGUGGAGUGAUUUGUCUGGUUGAUUCCGAUAACGAACGAGAUUAUAGCCUAGUUAAAUAGACUGCGUCUUACUUUUGGGCGCAGUCUUCUUAUCGGGAUCUGCGGUUUCUAACCGUACGAAAUUUAGCAAUAACAGGUCUGUGAUGCCCUUAGAUGUCCGGGGCUACACGCGCGCCACAAUGGACUGUUCAGUCCGUUGUGCCCAUGCUCGACAGAGCUUGGUAAGCGUGUCAAAUCAGUCCGUAUUUGGGCUCGGAGAUUGCAAUUAUUCUCCUUAAACAAGGAACUUCAAGUAAGUGUGAGUCAUCAGCUCACGCUG
RNAcentral lists this ribosomal RNA (592 nucleotides) under Panagrolaimoidea sp. NK2011_4. RNAcentral's name for it is "bacterial SSU rRNA". It matches the Rfam family "Eukaryotic small subunit ribosomal RNA", at positions 1026 to 1643 of the family's 1831-position model. Lineage: Eukaryota; Metazoa; Nematoda; Chromadorea; Rhabditida. The record is from RNAcentral.